Molecule: non-coding RNA, 53 nt
Filed under: Plasmodium falciparum 3D7
Lineage: Eukaryota; Apicomplexa; Aconoidasida; Haemosporida; Plasmodiidae
Source: RNAcentral
AUCUUAUGAUUGUCAUUUGAAUUAUCAUGUGAAUAAUCAUUAUUAUUCGUGGU